UACGUAGGUCCCGAGCGUUGUCCGGAUUUAUUGGGCGUAAAGCGAGCGCAGGUGGUUUAUUAAGUCUGGUGUAAAAGGCAGUGGCUCAACCAUUGUAUGCAUUGGAAACUGGUGGACUUGAGUGCAGGAGAGGAGAGUGGAAUUCCAUGUGUAGCGGUGAAAUGCGUAGAUAUAUGGAAGAACACCGGUGGCGAAAGCGGCUCUCUGGCCUGUAACUGACACUGAGGCUCGAAAGCGUGGGGAGCAAACAGG
Molecule: ribosomal RNA, 252 nt
Filed under: uncultured bacterium
Lineage: Bacteria
Description: partial 16S ribosomal RNA
Rfam family: Bacterial small subunit ribosomal RNA
Source: RNAcentral